Molecule: ribosomal RNA, 411 nt
Filed under: uncultured bacterium
Lineage: Bacteria
Description: bacterial SSU rRNA
Rfam family: Bacterial small subunit ribosomal RNA
Source: RNAcentral
ACUGAGGAGCGUCGAUCGAAACUGCCGUUCUUGAGGAUUGCAGAGGAGACUGGAAUUCCCGGUGUAGCGGCGAAAUGUGUAGAGAUCGGGAGGAACACCGGUGGCGAAGGCGGGUCUCUGGGCAAUUCCUGACGCUGAGGCGCGAAAGCGUGGGGAGCAAACGGGAUUAGAUACCCCGGUAGUCCACGCUGUAAACGAUGACGACUAGGUGUGGGGGGGUUCAGUCCCUUCCGUGCCGCAGCUAACGCAUUAAGUCGUCCGCCUGGGGAGUACGGCCGCAAGGUUGAAACUCAAAGGAAUUGACGGGGGCCCGCACAAGCGGUGGAGCAUGUGGUUCAAUUCGAUGCAGAGCGAAGAACCUUACCUGGGCUUGACAUGUAGGAAGUAGAAACCGGAAACGGGGACAACCUG